GUUCUACCUUGACGAAUUGUAGUUUAAAGAAGUGUUUCCUGUUAGAGGAGUAGCAAAAGUUCCUUGGAAUGGGACAUCAUAGAGGGUGAGAAUCCCGUAUUUGGUUAUUCUUUCUAGCUUUGUGAUACACUUUCAAAGAGUCGGAUUGUUUGGGAAUGCAGUCCAAAAUGGGUGGUAAAUUUCAUCUAAAGCUAAAUAUUGGCGAGAGACCGAUAGCGGACAAGUACCGUGGGGGAAAGAUGAAAAGAACUUUGAAAAGAGAGUUAAACAGUACGUGAAAUUGUCAAAAGGGAAGCGUUUGACACCAGUGUUGUUUUUCCGAAAAUCAAUUAAGAAGGGCUUGAUUUUGUGUUGUAUUGACCUUAUCAGCUUUCUUCACUCUUUUUCGAGUCUUUCUU
Molecule: ribosomal RNA, 398 nt
Filed under: uncultured Neocallimastigomycetes
Lineage: Eukaryota; Fungi; Neocallimastigomycota; Neocallimastigomycetes
Description: eukaryotic LSU rRNA
Rfam family: Eukaryotic large subunit ribosomal RNA
Source: RNAcentral